CGCACGGGUGCGUAACGCGUAUGCAACCUACCAUCAACAGGGGGGAUAACACUGAGAAAUUGGUACUAAUACCCCAUAAUAUCUCAUGCGGCAUCGCAUGGGGUUGAAAACUCCGGUGGUUGAUGAUGGGCAUGCGUUGUAUUAGCUGGGUUGGUGAGGUAACGGCUCACCAAGGCGACGAUACAUACGGGGGACUGAGAGGUUAAACCCCCCACAUUGGUACUGAGACACGGACCAAACUCCUACGGGAGGCAGCAG
Molecule: ribosomal RNA, 258 nt
Filed under: uncultured bacterium
Lineage: Bacteria
Description: partial 16S ribosomal RNA
Rfam family: Bacterial small subunit ribosomal RNA
Source: RNAcentral